GUUUGAGGUUUAAUAAUUCUUUGUUUACUUAUUUUAAAUUCUCAUAACUUUCUUCCUGGAUUAUUGCUAUCCAUGAAAUUUGGCAGAAAGAGACUCCUUUCUCUCCGAUUUACAACGGUGUAACGCACUUAAUUUAAUAUCAACCCUAGCACUUUCUAUGAAUAAAAAUAGGUUUGAGGUUAGAUUGAUAUUUAUUUCCAACAUAAAAAUGCUCAUAACUUUCUUCCUGGAUCAUUGCUAUCCAUGAAAUUUGGCAGAAAGAGACUCCUUUCUCUCCCAUUUACAACGGUGUAACUCACUUAAUUUAAUAUCAACUCUACCACUUUCUAUGAAUAAAAAUAGGUUUGAGGUUUAAUAAUUCUUUGUUUACUUAAUUUAAAUGCUCAUAACUUCCUUCCUGGAUCAUGGCUAUCCAUGAAAUUUGGCAGAAAGAGACUCCUUUCUCUCCGAUUUACAACGGUGUAACGCACUUAAUUUAAUAUCAACCCUAGCACUUUCUAUGAAUAAAAAUAGGUUUGAGGUUAGAUUGAUAUUUAUUUCCAACAUAAAAAUGCUCAUAACUUUCUUCCUGGAUCAUUGCUAUCCAUGAAAUUUGGCAGAAAGAGACUUCUUUCUCUCCCAUUUACAACGGUGUAACUCACUUAAUUUAAUAUCAACUCUACCACUUUCUAUGAAUAAAAAUAGGUUUGAGGUUUAAUAAUUCUUUGUUUACUUAUUUCAAAUGCUCAUAACUUCCUUCCUGGAUCAUGGCUAUCCAUAAAAUUUGGCAGAAAGAGACUCCUUUCUCUCCGAUUUACAACGGUGUAACGCACUUAAUUUAAUAUCAACCCUAUCACUUUCUAUGAAUAAAAAUAGGUUUGAGUUUUAAUAAUUCUUUGUUUACUUAAAUCAAAUGCUCAUAACUUUCUUCCUGGAUCAUUGCUAUCCAUGAAAUUCGGCAGAAAGAGACUUCUUUCUCUCCCAUUUACAACGCUGUAAUGCACUUAAUUUAAUAUUAACCCUAGCACUUUCUAUGAAUAAAAAUAGGUUUGAGGUUAGAUUGAUAUUUAUUUCCAACAUAAAAAUGCUCAUAACUUUUUUCCUGGAUCAUUGCUAUCCAUGAAAUUUGGCAGAAGGAGACUCCUUUUUCUCCCAUUUACAACGGUGUAACUCACUUAAUUUAAUAUCAACUCUACCACUUUCUAUGAAUAAAAAUAGGUUUGAGGUUUAAUAAUUCUUUGUUUACUUAUUUUAAAUGCUCAUAACUUUCUUCCUGGAUUAUUGCUAUUCAUGAAAUUUGGCAGAAAGAGACUCCUUUCUCUCCCAUUUACAACGGUGUAACGCACUUAAUUUAAAAUUAACCCUAGAACUUUCUAUGAAUAAAAAUAGGUUUGAGGUUAGAUUGAUAUUUAUUUCCAACAUAAAAAUGCUCAUAACUUUCUUCCUGGAUUAUUGCUAUCCAUGAAAUUUGGCAGAAAGAGACUCCUUUCUCUCCCAUUUACAACGGUGUAACGCACUUAAUUUAAAAUCAACCCUAGAACUUUCUAUGAAUAAAAAUAGGUUUGAGGUUAGAUUGAUACUUAUUUCCAACAUAAAAAUGCUCAUAACUUUCUUCCUGGAUCAUUGCUAUUCAUGAAAUUUGGCAGAAAGAGACUCCUUUCUCUCCCAUUUACAACGGUGUAACUCACUUAAUUUAAUAUCAACUCUACCACUUUCUAUGAAUAAAAAUAGGUUUGAGUUUUAAUAAUUCUUUGUUUACUUAAAUUAAAUGCUUAUAACUUUCUUCCUGGAUCAUUGCUAUCCAUGAAAUUUGGCAGAAAGAGACUCCUUUCUCUCCCAUUUACAACGGUGUAACUCACUUAAUUUAAUAUCAACUCUACCACUUUCUAUGAAUAAAAAUAGGUUUGAGGUUUAAUAAUUCUUUGUUUACUUAUUUUAAAUGCUCAUAACUUUCUUCCUGGAUUAUUGCUAUCCAUGAAAUUUGGCAGAAAGAGACUCCUUUCUCUCCGAUUUACAACGGUGUAACGCACUUAAUUUAAUAUCAACCCUAGCACUUUCUAUGAAUAAAAGUAUGUUUGAGGUUAGAUUGAUAUUUAUUUCCAACAUAAAAAUGCUCAUAACUUUCUUCCUGGAUCAUUGCUAUCCAUGAAAUUUGGCAGAAAGAGACUCCUUUCUCUCCGAUUUAUAACGGUGUAACGCACUUAAUUUAAUAUCAACCCUAGCACUUUCUAUGAAUAAAAAUAGGUUUGAGGUUUAAUAAUUCUUUGUUUACUUAUUUUAAAUGCUCAUAACUUUCUUCCUGGAAUAUUGCUAUCCAUGAAAUUUAGCAGAAAGAGGCUCCUUUCUGUCCCAUUUAUAACGGUGUAACGCACUUAAUUUAAUAUCAACCCUAUCACUUUCUAUGAAUAAAAAUAGGUUUGAGUUUUAAUAAUUCUUUGUUUACUUAAAUCAAAUGCUCAUAACUUUCUUCCUGGAUCAUUGCUAUCCAUGAAAUUUGGCAGAAAGAGACUCCUUUCUCUCCCAUUUACAACGGUGUAACUCACUUAAUUUAACAUCAACUCUACCACUUUCUAUGAAUAAAAAUAGGUUUGAGUUUUAAUAAUUCUUUGUUUACUUAAAUUAAAUGCUCAUAACUUUCUUCCUGG
This 2624-nucleotide long non-coding RNA is filed under the name Anthonomus grandis grandis. RNAcentral's name for it is "uncharacterized LOC126747461". The record is from RNAcentral. Lineage: Eukaryota; Metazoa; Arthropoda; Insecta; Coleoptera; Curculionidae.